GUCCUAGCCGUAAACGGUGCACGUUUGCUGUGAGUGGAAUCGACCCCACUCGUGGCGUAGCCAACGCGUUAAACGUGCCGCCUGGGAAGUACGGUCGCAAGAUUAAAACUCAAAGAAAUUGACGGGGGCCUGCACAAGCUGUGGAGUAUGUGGCUCAAUUCGAUGCAACGCGAAGAACCUUACCUGGCCUUGACAUGUACGUAGUAGAAGGGUGAAAGCCUGACGAGGUAGCAAUACCAGCGUACACAGGUGCUGCAUUGCUGUCGU
This 267-nucleotide ribosomal RNA is filed under the name uncultured bacterium. Its description in RNAcentral is "partial 16S ribosomal RNA". It matches the Rfam family "Bacterial small subunit ribosomal RNA", at positions 793 to 1055 of the family's 1533-position model. The record is from RNAcentral.